GAAAUGCGAUAAGUAAUGUGAAUUGCAGAAUUCAGUGAAUCAUCGAAUCUUUGAACGCACAUUGCGCCCGCCAGUAUUCUGGCGGGCAUGCCUGUUCGAGCGUCAUUACAACCCUCAGGCCCCCGGGCCUGGCGUUGGGGAUCGGCGGAAGCCCCCUGCGGGCACAACGCCGUCCCCCAAAUACAGUGGCGGUCCCGCCGCAGCUUCCAUUGCGUAGUAGCUAACACCUCGCAACUGGAGAGCGGCGCGGCCACGCCGUAAAACACCCAACUUCUGAAUGUUGACCUCGAAUCAGGUAGGAAUACCCGCUGAACUGAAG
Molecule: unclassified non-coding RNA, 319 nt
Filed under: plant metagenome
Description: partial contains 5.8S ribosomal RNA, internal transcribed spacer 2, and large subunit ribosomal RNA
Rfam family: 5.8S ribosomal RNA (bases 1-105)
Source: RNAcentral